RNAcentral lists this long non-coding RNA (676 nucleotides) under Drosophila guanche. Lineage: Eukaryota; Metazoa; Arthropoda; Insecta; Diptera; Drosophilidae. The record is from RNAcentral.
GGAGACAGCAAAAUGUGCCAAGCUUUUCUGUAAGUUUUCUAUAAAUAUUUUGAGCAAAGUUAUUCUAAAACAAAGUUCAGUGUAUUAGCUCUCUUAAUUGUGUGUGAAACCAGCUUGACACAUCAACUGAAACAUGAAUUUCCCUUUAUGGAAAGGGGCAAGGGAUGUGCACGAAUCAAUAAGACAGUUCCAGCCGUAAGUUUCAUACAUACAACACCACAAGCAGAAUACAUUCUCAAGAUUUUGAAUAGCCCCAGUUGGGCAGCGAGCUUUGGAUCAUUACCAGAUGGAUGGUGCAUCAAGAAAUGAAACCAUUUAGAUGCUUUCAGGAUGAUUUUCCACCAGAUAUACCCAUAGACACCCAUCAAAGCGUUUUUCUGGGCACUGACAAUAACACAUUUGCCGUUCAUUUAAUUUGCUUAGAUGGAACUUCCUCGGAACAAAAAGAUGACAAUCAUUAUUGUAAGUAGAGGCAAUGGCAGAUGUCCUGUUUAUAGUUAUUUAAAUGCUUAACAAAUUUCGCUUAGAUUUGGUUCAGACAUACUCAACAGAGAAACAUCCUGCAAAGUCCACCAUGAAUAAAAUAAGAAAGAUUCAUGUGGAACAUGGGCUGAAAAGGAAGUGGUUAAGAGGAUGUCAUUAAAAAUAAAUGGUUAUAACAUUUAACAGCUUUUAU